This 457-nucleotide ribosomal RNA is filed under the name uncultured Idiomarina sp. RNAcentral's name for it is "bacterial SSU rRNA". It matches the Rfam family "Bacterial small subunit ribosomal RNA", at positions 346 to 795 of the family's 1533-position model. The record is from RNAcentral. Lineage: Bacteria; Pseudomonadati; Pseudomonadota; Gammaproteobacteria; Alteromonadales; Idiomarinaceae.
AGGCAGCAGUGGGGAAUAUUGCACAAUGGGGGAAACCCUGAUGCAGCCAUGCCGCGUGUGUGAAGAAGGCCUUCGGGUUGUAAAGCACUUUCAGCGACGAGGAAGGGUGUUGUAUUAAUAGUGCAGCACAUUGACGUUAGUCGCAGAAGAAGCACCGGCUAACUCCGUGCCAGCAGCCGCGGUAAUACGGAGGGUGCAAGCGUUAAUCGGAAUUACUGGGCGUAAAGCGUACGUAGGCGGCGUGUUAAGCAAGAUGUGAAAGCCCCGGGCUCAACCUGGGAAUUGCAUUUUGAACUGGCAUGCUAGAGUCCUGAAGAGGGUGGUAGAAUUUCCAGUGUAGCGGUGAAAUGCGUAGAUAUUGGAAGGAAUACCAGUGGCGAAGGCGGCCACCUGGUCAGAGACUGACGCUGAGGUACGAAAGCGUGGGGAGCAAACAGGAUUAGAUACCCGUGUAGUC